RNAcentral lists this ribosomal RNA (332 nucleotides) under uncultured Lysobacteraceae bacterium. RNAcentral describes it as "bacterial SSU rRNA". It matches the Rfam family "Bacterial small subunit ribosomal RNA", at positions 568 to 898 of the family's 1533-position model. Lineage: Bacteria; Pseudomonadati; Pseudomonadota; Gammaproteobacteria; Lysobacterales; Lysobacteraceae. The record is from RNAcentral.
UGCGUAGGUGGUUGUUUAAGUCUGCUGUGAAAGCCCCGGGCUCAACCUGGGAAUGGCAGUGGAUACUGGACAGCUAGAGUGCGGUAGAGGGUAGUGGAAUUCCCGGUGUAGCAGUGAAAUGCGUAGAGAUCGGGAGGAACACCAGUGGCGAAGGCGGCUACCUGGACCAGCACUGACACUGAAGCACGAAAGCGUGGGGAGCAAACAGGAUUAGAUACCCUGGUAGUCCACGCCCUAAACGAUGCGAACUGGACGUUGGGAGCAACUUGGCUCUCAGUGUCGAAGCUAACGCGUUAAGUUCGCCGCCUGGGGAGUACGGUCGCAAGACUGAA